CAUGUUGACAAACAGCAUAAUGCGGUUCAAUAGAAUGUAGGUGAAAGUAUUUUGCUUUCUUUUAGUUUUAGUUUAAUUCGCAAUAAAAAUGGAAGAACUAAAAGAUCCCUCUUAAUAAAAACAAAAAUGAUCGAACUCUAAUAGCAGUUUUGGGUGGUAAAAAAAAGUUGGGGCAAGUGAUUAUAAUAUGGUUUACGAGCCGAUAGAAAAACAUCAUGAUUGGAUAAGGAUAAAUACAGAUGGGGAAAUCAAUCCACAACGAUGCUGAGUAUGUUGCUAAGCCUAUGCUCCACACCUACCUGGUUCCAUCUCCAGUUUACUCAAAGUUAUUGUAAUUACAGCUGAUGUAAGAUUUGGCAGUGUUGUCAUUAAGACGCUACACCACUUUCAUCUUAUUUUUCG
Long non-coding RNA from Contarinia nasturtii (swede midge), 402 nucleotides. RefSeq lists it as uncharacterized. The record is from RefSeq and is a predicted model, not a curated record. The transcript is spliced from 3 exons. Lineage: Eukaryota; Metazoa; Arthropoda; Insecta; Diptera; Cecidomyiidae.